AAAAAUGAAAAUUUCCACGGGCA
RNAcentral lists this transfer RNA (23 nucleotides) under Centroscymnus crepidater (longnose velvet dogfish). RNAcentral's name for it is "Centroselachus crepidater (longnose velvet dogfish) partial tRNA-Phe". RNAcentral also lists the same sequence under 1 other name. Lineage: Eukaryota; Metazoa; Chordata; Chondrichthyes; Squaliformes; Somniosidae. The record is from RNAcentral.